Molecule: transfer RNA, 74 nt
Filed under: Perkinsus olseni
Lineage: Eukaryota; Perkinsozoa; Perkinsida; Perkinsidae
Description: tRNA-Pro
Rfam family: tRNA
About the family: Transfer RNA (tRNA) molecules are approximately 80 nucleotides in length.
Source: RNAcentral
GCUGUGUGGUCUAGUGGUAUGAUUCUCGCUUAGGGUGCGAGAGGUCCCGAGUUCAAUUCUCGGCACAGCCCUCG